UACAAAAGACCUGAGAAUACUUAACCCCCCACCACUAGCACACUCAAAGCUCAAGGCAAAUGCAUUUUCAAGAUUGACAGGGUCUUGGACUCUGAAAGUCUUUGGAUGAGGAAUGCAGAAUUCUGACCUACCUGAGUGUCCCCAGCAUGACUUGGUGUCCCUAGCUUGCUGGGAUCAUCAGACAUGAACACCAUGCCACCACUACAAUUCUCUUCAGUUGAGGCAACUCUUCUACGGAACCCUAGCUACAAGACCCAAGAAAAAUCGUGUUAUCUAAGAGAGCAGUUAUUCUGACACAGACUGAUAUCAGGUGCCUGUGGCAUG
This 324-nucleotide long non-coding RNA is filed under the name Homo sapiens (human). RNAcentral's name for it is "HSALNT0028635". The record is from RNAcentral. Lineage: Eukaryota; Metazoa; Chordata; Mammalia; Primates; Hominidae.